AUGCCGAACAUUUCUGCUAAGAGAUUCUGUCCUCCAGUGCAGGGGCCAUUGUCACAAACUGAGUGUCAUGGGCUUCCAGACCUCUGUGGGAGCUGUUCCUGCCCUGAGCUGCUCCUCUCGCCAAAUCCUCUUCUCCCUCCCUCGCUCCUCACCAGGCCUUCCUUUCAGCUGCCCGGAGACCCACAAAGUGCCUGCCUCUCUAAUAAGCAUGAGGCACAGAGAAAGGGGAUGAGGUGGGAAAGAGAGAAGCAACCCCAGGCUCUGGGAGGUGGCCCUGGUCCCCCAGGGCCCAGUCCAGGGUCACCGAAGCCACUCACAGAGAAAGGGGAUGAGAUGGGAAAGAGAGAAGCAACCCCAGGCUCUGGGAGGUGGCCCUGGCUCCCCACUGGUAAGGGUGUAAGGGGUAGGGUCUGGGGCAAGUGGCUCUCGUGGCCGACACACACGCCUGGUCUUGAGGAAAUUCCAGAGAAUGCCAGUUUGGAAUCGGCUCUCUGUUCCCAAGGCCUGCGGUAUCCCCAAGCACUACAGGAGGCUUUGGGGGAACAGUUGGCUUUCUGUCUGCCCAGGGCAGGGGGCACCUGGUGCGUUUCUGGGGCUCCCUUAGCAUUGCAGGUUUCUAGCUCGUCCUAAAUCUCUCUUUGGGGGAAAUCUUUCCUGCUGCAGGUGACUACAUCUUCUGUCCCCGAGGGACGGGCCUGGCCCUUGCACCCUCUGGUUGCCUUCUCUCUGACGCCCAGAGUUCCAUGAGUGCUUGUCACCAUACCGGGGACCCCCAGGGUCUGCUGGAUUUUGUCCAAACGACACCCCAGAAACCAAAUAAAACAGUUGAGGGAUCCCUGGGUGGCGCAGCGGUUUAGCGCCUGCCUUUGGCCCAGGGCGCGAUCCUGGAGACUCGGGAUCGAAUCCUACGUCGGGCUCCCGGUGCAUGGAGCCUGCUUCUCCCUCUGCCUAUGUCUCUGCCUCUCUCUCUCUGUGACUAUCAUAAAUAAAUAAAAUUUAAAAAAAAUAAAAUAAAAUAAAACAGUUGAAAUAUGUGAUUUUUUGCAUGGCUUUGUGAGAGGUUAGUGUCCAUCAGGGGUCAUCCUCUGCCUGGGGACGUCAGUGGACAAGGGGGCCCAGAAUCACCGGGAUUUCUGUCUUUGGUCUGUGGCAGAUGUUAUGAGCAUGCUGAAUUAAGAAUGAUAAGAUUUCUGGGGCACCUGGGGGGCUCAAUCAGUUAAGCAUCCAACUCUUGAUUUCAGCUCAGGUCAUGAUCUCAGGGUGGUGGGAUGGAGCCUCGCAUCGGGCUCUGUGUUCAGCGCAGAGUCGGCUCGUCUCUCUCCCUCUGCUUUUCCUCUCUUCCUCUGCUUUUCCUGCUCUUCCUCUCUCUCACAUAAAUAAAUAAAAACUUAAAAAGAAAAAAGAAUGAUAAGAUUUCUGUACUCAAUGUUCUCCUUCCUCACAACACACUGCCUUUGUUCUAAUGCACAGAGAGCUUGUAUAACUUGCCUAUGGUCACAAAGCAAAGUGGAUGGCGCUGGGAUUUGAAUCAUGCUCCGGCUGGUGCACAGCAUGUGCAAACGUUCCCACAA
Molecule: long non-coding RNA, 1571 nt
Filed under: Canis lupus familiaris (dog)
Lineage: Eukaryota; Metazoa; Chordata; Mammalia; Carnivora; Canidae
Description: lncRNA (ENSCAFG00030016509.1)
Source: RNAcentral